CUUAGAUAUAAUAAUGCUGUAGCAUAUUUUUUAUUUCAAUAUUAAGGUAACAUUUCAACCAAGCUCCUUGUGUUGAAAUUGCCUAUAGUAUUCUAAGAAGGCCACAUCGACAGACAUAUGCAUAUUGCAUAUCUACUUUGUUUAGAUACACACAACAUACUUAAGUUACUGAUACAUACAUAUACUAAUAUGCCUUUCAGAGCCCGUGUUACCUUCUAGCAGUCACUGAAGUACUUUACAGGCACAAGGCUUAGAGGAGUCUUCUUAGAGACAGUAAGACUAACACCGGCUCGCUCUUCCAUAUCAAUGUCUUCCUCCUGCAUCCCAUUAGGUAAUUUCCAAUCAAAGCAAUACAGAAGAUUUGCAAGUACAGCCUCUACUGUUAUUGUUCCCAUGUGCAUCCCAGGACAAAUUCUUCUACCAGCUCCAAAUGGCAAAAACUCAAAAUUUUGUCCUUUAAAGUCAAUUGAGCUAUCAGCAAAUCUCUCAGGGAAGAAGUGCUCUGGGUCCGUCCAGUAUUGAGGAUCGCGCCCGAUUGCCCAGGCAUUAACUUGGAUCAUUGUCUUGGGAUAAAUAUUAUAACGACUGAUUUUACAGUGAGACAUUGUUUCUCUUGGAAUUAGUAGUGGGGCGGCAGGAUGCAGUCUGAAAGUUUCUUUUAUUACCAUCUUGAGGUAUUCAAGCUUAUCAAUAUCACCUUCAGUUACUCUUCCCUUUUUUCCAACACGAUUUCUAAUUUCAUCUUGCACUUGCUUCAUCACUCUAGGAUUCCUUACAAGCUCUGCCAUUGCCCAAUUCACAGUAAUAGCAGAAGUGUCUACACCAGCUGCAAAUAAAUU
RNAcentral lists this unclassified non-coding RNA (839 nucleotides) under Hevea brasiliensis (rubber tree). Lineage: Eukaryota; Viridiplantae; Streptophyta; Magnoliopsida; Malpighiales; Euphorbiaceae. The record is from RNAcentral.